UGUGGAUCGGAGUGAAAGGCUAAUCAAGCUCGGAGAUAGCUGGUUCUCCUCGAAAGCUAUUUAGGUAGCGCCUCGUGUAUCACUGCUGGGGGUAGAGCACUGUUUCGGCUAGGGGGUCAUCCCGACUUACCAAACCGAUGCAAACUCCGAAUACCAGCAAGUGUCAGCACGGGAGACACACGGCGGGUGCUAACGUCCGUCGUGAAAAGGGAAACAACCCAGACCGUCAGCUAAGGUCCCAAAGUCAUGGUUAAGUGGGAAACGAUGUGGGAAGGCUUAGACAGCUAGGAGGUUGGCUUAGAAGCAGCCAUCCUUUAAAGAAAGCGUAAUAGCUCACUAGUCGAGUCGGCCUGCGCGGAAGAUGUAACGGGGCUCAAACCAUGCACCGAAGCUACGGGUUCAACGCAAGUUGAGCGGUAGAGGAGCGUUCUGUAAGCCUGUGAAGGUNAGUUGAGAAGCUNGCUGGAGGUAUCAGAAGUGCGAAUGCUGACAUGAGUAACGACAAUGCGAGUGAAAAACUCGCACGCCGAAAGACCAAGGGUUCCUGCGCAACGUUAAUCGACGCAGGGUGAGUCGGUCCCUAAGGCGAGGCUGAAGAGCGUAGUCGAUGGGAAACGGGUUAAUAUUCCCGUACUUCUAGUUACUGCGAUGGGGGGACGGAGAAGGCUAGGCCAGCAAGGCGUUGGUUGUCCUUGUUUAAGGUGGUAGGCAGAGAUCUUAGGUAAAUCCGGGNUCUUAAUGCCGAGAGCUGAUGACGAGCUUUCUUUUAGAAAGCGAAGUGGUUGAUGCCAUGCUUCCAGGAAAAGCCUCUAAGCUUCAGGUAACUAGGAACCGUACCCCAAACCGACACAGGUGGUUGGGUAGAGAAUACCAAGGCGCUUGAGAGAACUCGGGUGAAGGAACUAGGCAAAAUGGCACCGUAACUUCGGGAGAAGGUGCGCCGGUGAGGGUGAAGUAUUUACUACGUAAGCCCAUGCCGGUCGAAGAUACCAGGCCGCUGCGACUGUUUAUUAAAAACACAGCACUCUGCAAACACGAAAGUGGACGUAUAGGGUGUGACGCCUGCCCGGUGCCGGAAGGUUAAUUGAUGGGGUUAGCGCAAGCGAAGCUCUUGAUCGAAGCCCCGGUAAACGGCGGCCGUAACUAUAACGGUCCUAAGGUAGCGAAAUUCCUUGUCGGGUAAGUUCCGACCUGCACGAAUGGCGUAACGAUGGCGGCGCUGUCUCCACCCGAGACUCAGUGAAAUUGAAAUCGCUGUGAAGAUGCAGUGUAUCCGCGGCUAGACGGAAAGACCCCGUGAACCUUUACUAUAGCUUUGCACUGGACUUUGAAUUUGCUUGUGUAGGAUAGGUGGGAGGCUUUGAAGCGUGGACGCCAGUUCGCGUGGAGCCAUCCUUGAAAUACCACCCUGGCAACUUUGAGGUUCUAACUCUGGUCCGUUAUCCGGAUCGAGGACAGUGUAUGGUGGGUAGUUUGACUGGGGCGGUCUCCUCCUAAAGAGUAACGGAGGAGUACGAAGGUGCGCUCAGACCGGUCGGAAAUCGGUCGUAGAGUAUAAAGGCAAAAGCGCGCUUGACUGCGAGACAGACACGUCGAGCAGGUACGAAAGUAGGUCUUAGUGAUCCGGUGGUUCUGUAUGGAAGGGCCAUCGCUCAACGGAUAAAAGGUACU
This 1671-nucleotide ribosomal RNA is filed under the name metagenome. Its description in RNAcentral is "bacterial LSU rRNA". It matches the Rfam family "Bacterial large subunit ribosomal RNA", at positions 810 to 2467 of the family's 2925-position model. The record is from RNAcentral.